This is a non-coding RNA of Parelaphostrongylus tenuis, 71 nucleotides long. The record is from the annotation of a GenBank genome assembly. Lineage: Eukaryota; Metazoa; Nematoda; Chromadorea; Rhabditida; Metastrongylidae.
ACCUCAGUGGUGCAGUGGUAGCCCGCGCCUCCGGUAUGGAUGAAGUGCGGGUUCGACUCCCGUCUAAGGUC